AUGUUGGGCACAGCCUUAUGCCCGAACAACAUUUGGCAGUAUUUCUCCUGGUGUUAUGUGUUCCUCCCUGAUGGAGCCAGGUUCUAUACUUUUGGCCUGGCAGCCAUAUGCUGGGUUAUUUGGAAUAGCCGCAACCAGGCUACCUUCAAACAUAAGCAACUUAAGACCCCCUUUAACGUGGUAUAUUCUGCCUGUGGUUUUUUGACUUAUUGGGUAGGUUUGAUGGCUGGCGCUGAUCGGGAUGCAAUGGAACGUGGUGCCAAGAUGCUCAAGACGAACGCUUCUGUGAUGAUGCGAAUCUGUGUAGCUCCAGCCAGGGCAGCGAUGGAUUGA
This 333-nucleotide ribosomal RNA is filed under the name Triticum aestivum (bread wheat). RNAcentral's name for it is "partial small subunit ribosomal RNA". The record is from RNAcentral. Lineage: Eukaryota; Viridiplantae; Streptophyta; Magnoliopsida; Poales; Poaceae.